Molecule: ribosomal RNA, 506 nt
Filed under: uncultured bacterium
Lineage: Bacteria
Description: partial 16S ribosomal RNA
Rfam family: Bacterial small subunit ribosomal RNA
Source: RNAcentral
AGUGAACGCUGGCGGUAGGCCUAACACAUGCAAGUCGAACGGCAGCACAGAGGAGCUUGCUCCUUGGGUGGCGAGUGGCGGACGGGUGAGGAAUACAUCGGAAUCUACUCUGUCGUGGGGGAUAACGUAGGGAAACUUACGCUAAUACCGCAUACGACCUACGGGUGAAAGCAGGGGACCUUCGGGCCUUGCGCGAUUGAAUGAGCCGAUGUCGGAUUAGCUAGUUGGCGGGGUAAAGGCCCACCAAGGCGACGAUCCGUAGCUGGUCUGAGAGGAUGAUCAGCACCACUGGAACUGAGACACGGUCCAGACGCCUACGGGAGGCAGCAGUGGGGGAUAUUGGACAAUGGGCGCAAGCCUGAUCCAGCCAUACCGCGUGGGUGAAGAAGGCCUUCGGGUUGUAAAGCCCUUUUGUUGGGAAAGAAAUCCAGCUGGCUAAUACCCGGUUGGGAUGACGGUACCCAAAGAAUAAGCACCGGCUAACUUCGUGCCAGCCGCCGCGGUAA